GGCGCGGCGGUCGCUGCA
This 18-nucleotide small nuclear RNA is filed under the name Arabidopsis thaliana (thale cress). Its description in RNAcentral is "snRNA_00738". The record is from RNAcentral. Lineage: Eukaryota; Viridiplantae; Streptophyta; Magnoliopsida; Brassicales; Brassicaceae.